UCUACGGUGGUCAGCAGUGAGGAAUAUUGGUCAAUGGGCGGGAGCCUGAACCAGCCAAGUCGCGUGAGGGAAGACGGUCCUACGGAUUGUAAACCUCUUUUGCCGGGGAGCAACGGGGUCCUUGCGAGGGCCCGAUGAGAGUACCCGGAGAAAAAGCAUCGGCUAACUCCGUGCCAGCAGCCGCGCUCAUACGGGGGAUGCGAGCGUUAUCCGGAUUUAUUGGGUUUAAAGGGUGCGUAGGCGGGCUGUUAAGUCAGCGGUCAAAUGUCGGGGCUCAACCCCGUACUGCCGUUGAAACUGGAUCCAUUGAGUGCGCGAGAAGUAUGCGGAAUGCGUGGUGUAGCGGUGAAAUGCAUAGAUAUCACGCAGAACUCCGAUUGCGAAGGCAGCAUACCGGCGCGCAACUGACGCUCAUGCACGAAAGCGUGGGUAUCGAACAGGAUUAGAUACCCUUGUAGUC
Molecule: ribosomal RNA, 460 nt
Filed under: uncultured bacterium
Lineage: Bacteria
Description: partial 16S ribosomal RNA
Rfam family: Bacterial small subunit ribosomal RNA
Source: RNAcentral